This is a long non-coding RNA of Ochotona curzoniae (black-lipped pika), 1067 nucleotides long. RefSeq lists it as uncharacterized. The transcript is spliced from 3 exons. The record is from RefSeq and is a predicted model, not a curated record. NCBI's taxonomy places the organism in Eukaryota, Metazoa, Chordata, Mammalia, Lagomorpha, Ochotonidae.
GGACAGUAUGAACUCUUUGCCGUGAUCGCACACAUGGGAAUGGCAAACUUUGGUCAUUACUGUGCCUAUAUUCGGAACUCUGUGGAUGGAGAAUGGUUCUGCUUCAAUGACUCCAAUGUUUGCAGGGUAUCCUGGGAAGACGUCCAGUGUACCUUUGGAAAUCAUAAUGACCGUUGGCGCGAAACCGCGUUUCUUCUGGUUUACAUGAAGGUUGAGAGCUAGUGAAUGCAUCCUCAACUUUCAGAAACCAUCCAAAUAUCAUUUCUGUUUUCUGUCCCUGAAAACUGCUGCUUGAAAGACUGUACAACGAGAUGCAUCAUUGUCACCCUAUGUCAUUAGACCUUGUGUUCAAGCAGGGGUGAGGAUGUGAUGUUUCCCCUCAGGUUCUUAUGCUAGAGGCUUGGUCUUCAGUGUGCCUGUGUUGAAUGGAUGGUAUCUUCAAGAGAUGGGUCCCAGCAAGAGGCAAUGAGCUCCGUGUGAUUCCUCCUCUUAUGAAUGGAUGGUUCCCUUCUCUUCUGCCACAUUCUUCUGCAGCUGGAGGGCCCUGACCAGGAUGGUUAGAGUGGUUGAAUCCUCCAGCCAUCAAAAUUGUGAACCAGAUAAUUAAGCAUCUUUAUAAAAUACCCAGCCUUGGGUACUUUGGGUAUAGCAACACAGAAUGGGUUAAUACGGUUACUAAGUAUUUAACAAGACUGCACAGGCCCUGAUCUGUCACAGUGGGUGCUCUCUCCAGGGGUCUCUGGUCACAUGGUUGAACUGAGGCACUAGGUGGGAGAUGGUGGGAUCCAGGUGCUCCUUGGAGGACAGCACUAGCACUGGGAGCUAUUUGGGUGACAGGGAGCAGUGGUACGGAGUAUUUCAAAGUUUAAAAGGAGUGUGAGCAUACUCUUGUGACCUGAAUGAUUGUCAGUCUCUAUAUAAUUUAUUAGUUUUGUAACUAUAAUUGAUUCCAUAAUUUCAGCUGUUGUUAUAAUUCUUAUUCAUUUGUGUGGCAAAAAUACAUGGAUAAUUUCUGUGAUAUAUUGUGCUGGGAAGAAUAAUGAAUAAAGUACUUUUCCUCAAAAGGA